AAACCAAUAGAACAAAAUAAUAAUAAUAAUAAUAUUAACUAUCAAGAUCCCUUCCUUUCCUUGUCUAUAACAAUUUCACAGCAACUCUAAUUACCCAUCUCCAUUUUUUUUUUUUUAAUUUUCUAAUCUUCGAUUUUUUUUCAAUCUCUUUGGCUAAAAUUUAAAUCCUGAAAUUCGGAUUCUCGUUCAGUUUUUUGUUGGAACUUGGAAGACACACAAAGCGGAAGAGACGUGCGAAUUUUGUAGCUCCCUUCUUGUUUCAUUACAUCGAUCGGGAGUUUUUAAGGGUUUUAAUUGGGGAAUCUGGUGCGCGUGGAUGUCAAUUGCACAAUCACCGACUUGAAUUUGUGUCAACUGAUUGCGUUAAAUCUAUUGGGUGCUUUCUUUCGAUGUUAAAUUAGGGUUUUGAUAGGGAAGAUGAUAAUCAAACGGACGGGGAAACUUGAAAUGCCGAGCAUGAAACGCUGCAAGAUCGAAGAAUCGAGCUACGACGACUACGAAGACGAAGAAAUAUAUUACGAUUAUGACGCGAAUCCCAAGCGAUUAAAAUCGAAUGGUUAUUAUUCCUACAGCGAGUUCGAAGAUUUCAGCAGCGGCUCAGGUUAUUGGAGCAGCGAGGGGUCGUACUGGGCCGGUGAAUUCGAGUCGAAUUCAAUGAAUUUGAAUAAAGCAAACAAAGCAAAACAAUCUAAGAAGAGUUCCAAGAAGAGUUAUAAGCCACCGUUGUUGAAAUCAUCUAGAGGAAGAACUCAAAUGCUUCCUUCCAGAUUCAACGACGCCGUUCUUGAUUCUUGGAAAAACGGAGAAUCGAGGGUUGAUUAUGCUGAUUCAAGCUUGGAGGAUGAUGAAUUUGAUAGCGCAAGAUUUGAAUUUGAUCGGUCGGGAUAUAUGAAAGAUAAGUUUGGAUAUGGAAGCUCGGAUUUGUAUCUAAUUAGUAAACGAAGAGAGGAAAUAGGAGUGGGUUAUGCAGGGAUUAAUGGUAGCCUUGAUUACAGAAAUUAUUUGAAUUCUUCUUUGACAUUGCCUGAAACAGAUGAGUUUGUGCCUAGGUAUAAUAGUUAUAAGGGUUUAGAGAGGUUGAGAAAAGAGAGAGCUGGAAAGAGGAAAGAUGUGUAUAAGCCUGAGGAUUUUGCUUUGGGUGAUAUAGUUUGGGCUAAAUGUGGGAAGAGAUACCCAGCCUGGCCAGCUAUUGUGAUUGAUCCUAUAUUGCAAGCUCCUGAAGCAGUCUUAAGUUGUUGUGUUCCUGGUGCUAUUUGCGUUAUGUUUUUUGGGUACUCAAAAAACGGAACGCAGAGGGAUUAUGCGUGGGUGAAACAAGGAAUGAUAUUCCCAUUUGCAGAAUUCAUGGACAGAUACCAGGGGCAAACCCAAUUUUACAAGUGGAAACAAAGUGAUUUUCAGAUGGCAAUGGAGGAGGCGGUUUUAGCAGAAAAUGGUUAUCUAGACUCUGACCAUAAGACCCAGCAAAUAGGAUACCCAGAUGCUCAACCCAGUGGCUCAAGUCAGGAUUUGGAUUAUUUACACUCUCAAAACCAGGGUGCAAGACCUUGUGACAGCUGCGGCUCAGUUGUCCCUUUAAAAACUAUGAAGAAAAUGAAGAUAUCUACGUAUGAAGCUGAGCUUUUGUGCAAACAUUGUGCUAAGCUGCGGAAAUCAAAGCAGUAUUGUGGCAUAUGCAAGAAGAUUUGGCACCAUUCAGAUGGUGGCAAUUGGGUCUGUUGUGAUGGUUGUAAUGUGUGGGUACAUGCUGAAUGCGACAACAUUAGCAGUAAACUUUUCAAGGUAGAUCUGGAGCAUACUGAUUAUUACUGCCCCGAAUGUAAAGCAAAUCUCAAAUUUGAAUCAUACUUACCGAAAAGAGAGCCAAAAAUCAAAUCUACAGAAAAAAGGGGGGAAGGUGUUCCUCCUGACAAGCUGACUGUAGUCUGCAAUGGCAUGGAAGGAUCAUAUAUUCCAAAACUUCACUUAGUUGUAUGUGAGUGUGGUGUGUGUGGGUCAAAGAAGUAUACACUCAGUGAAUGGGAGCGGCAUACAGGCUGUAGAGCUAAAAAAUGGAAGUACAGUGUGAAAGUCAAAGACACAAUGAUACCUCUGGAAAAAUGGAUUGUUGAAUAUAAUGCCUUUGGUGUUGAUACUCUGAAGCUAGAUAAGCGGAAGCUAAUUGGUUUUUUGCAAGAAAAAUAUGAGUCUGUUGAUGCAAAAUGGACAACUGAAAGAUGUGCCAUAUGUAGAUGGGUUGAAGACUGGGAUUAUAACAAAAUUAUUAUAUGCAACAGGUGUCAAAUAGCUGUUCACCAAGAAUGCUAUGGGGCAAGCAAUGUUCAAGAUUUGACUUCUUGGGUUUGUAGAGCUUGUGAAGCACCUGAUAUCGAGAGGGAAUGUUGCCUUUGCCCUGUGAAAGGGGGUGCUCUGAAGCCAACCGAUGUUGAGUCACUUUGGGUUCAUGUCACAUGUGCCUGGUUUCGGCCGGAAGUUGGUUUCUCAAAUCAUGAGAAGAUGGAACCUGCUGUUGGAAUCCUUAGAAUUCCAUCAAGUUCAUUUUUGAAGAGUUGCGUGAUUUGUAAGCAAACUCAUGGUUCCUGCACUCAGUGUUGCAAGUGCACAACUUAUUUUCAUGUGAUGUGUGCAUCAAAAGCAGGAUAUAGCAUGGAACUACACUGCUCAGAGAAGAAUGGGAUACAAAUGACAAAAAAGUUAGUUUACUGUGCUGUUCACAGGAGCCCAAGUCCCGAUGCAGUUGUUGUCAUGCAUACUCCUUCAGGGGUUUUUGCUGCCAGAAAUGUUCUUAAGAAUGAGAAUGAAUGUCUUAGAGGUUCAAGGUUAAUUUCAUCCAAGAAUGCAGAGACCCCUGAAUCCCCAGCUCCAGAGACCAAUGAGUUUGAUGCAUACUCUGCUGUGAGAUGCCGUGUUUUUAGAAGGUCACAUUUUAAGAGGGCUGAAGGGGAGCCUAUAUUCCACCGGCUGAGUGGGCCAAGUCAUCAUCAUAUAGAUGCAGUUAGUGCAUUGAGCACAUAUAAGGAAGUAGAUGAUUCUACCAUAUUCUCGUCAUUCAAGGAUCGACUAUACCAUUUGCAGAGAACGGAGAAUCACCGAGUUUGUUUUGGUAAAUCUGGUAUUCACGGAUGGGGCCUCUUUGCACGUAGGAACAUUCAGGAAGGAGAAAUGGUUGUUGAGUAUCGUGGUGAGCAGGUUAGGCGCAGUGUUGCAGAUCUUAGGGAGGCUCGGUAUCGUUCUGAAGGAAAAGAUUGCUAUCUGUUCAAAAUCAGUGAGGAAGUAGUGAUUGAUGCCACCAACAAGGGGAAUAUUGCUCGCUUAAUCAACCAUUCGUGCAUGCCUAAUUGCUAUGCGAGGAUCAUGAGCGUUGGUGAUGAGGAGAGUCGGAUAGUCCUUAUUGCUAAGACCAAUGUGUCUGCAGGCGAUGAGCUAACGUAUGAUUAUUUGUUUGAUCCCGACGAACGCGAUGAACUUAAAGUUCCUUGCCUGUGUAAGGCUCCCAACUGUAGAAAAUAUAUGAAUUAAGGUCUAUAGUCCCAUUUAUUCCUGGAAGAAGCAUCAAAGAGCUCCUUACUGAUGGGGAACCUCUCCCCUUCUAGAUAGUAUUUGAUAAAAUCAGAACUGAAACAAAUGAGGAAUCUCACAGUUUUUGUCAUCGCGCGAGCCCUAUGCCAUUUUGUGUAUCUUUUCUAAGGGUCAAGCAGGUAAAUUUACUUAAGGACUAGUUAAUUAACGAAAAAUUAUUUUCUUAUAGUUUUUAACGUUUUUGCACCAAAUAUCUGUUGGUUUUUGUUUUGUAUAGGGUAGUAUCAUGAAUGAUUAUUGAAU
Molecule: non-coding RNA, 3822 nt
Organism: Durio zibethinus
Lineage: Eukaryota; Viridiplantae; Streptophyta; Magnoliopsida; Malvales; Malvaceae
Source: RefSeq, a predicted model, not a curated record